GAUGAACGCUGGCGGCGUGCCUAAUACAUGCAAGUCGAGCGAACAGACGAGGAGCUUGCUCCUCUGACGUUAGCGGCGGACGGGUGAGUACCACGUGGAUAACCUACCUAUAAGACUGGGAUAACUUCGGGAAACCGGAGCUAAUACCGGAUAAUAUAUUGAACCGCAUGGUUCACUAGUGAAAGACGGUUUUGCUGUCACUUAUAGAUUGAUCCGCGCCGCAUUAGCUAGUUGGUAAGGUAACGGCUUACCAAGGCAACGAUGCGUAGCCGACCUGAGAGGGUGAUCGGCCAGACUGGAACUGAGACACGGUCCAGACUCCUACGGGAGGCAGCAGUAGGGAAUCUUCCGCAAUGGGGGAAAGCCUGACGGAGCAACGCCGCGUGAGUGAUGAAGGUCUUCGGAUCGUAAAACUCUGUUAGUAGGGAAGAACAAAUGUGUAAGUAACUAUGCACGUCUUGACGGUACCUGAUCAGAAAGCCACGGCUAACUACGUG
RNAcentral lists this ribosomal RNA (497 nucleotides) under uncultured bacterium. RNAcentral's name for it is "partial 16S ribosomal RNA". It matches the Rfam family "Bacterial small subunit ribosomal RNA", at positions 28 to 507 of the family's 1533-position model. The record is from RNAcentral.